GCAGAGGGGGCUUAGUGGUGGGGUGACUGCGUACCUUUUGUAUAAUGGGUCAGCGACUUAUAUUCUGUAGCAAGGUUAACCGAAUAGGGGAGCCGUAGGGAAACCGAGUCUUAACCGGGCGUUAAGUUGCAGGGUAUAGACCCGAAACCCGGUGAUCUAGCCAUGGGCAGGUUGAAGGUUGGGUAACACUAACUGGAGGACCGAACCGACUAAUGUUGAAAAAUUAGCGGAUGACCUGUGGCUGGGGGUGAAAGGCCAAUCAAACCGGGAGAUAGCUGGUUCUCCCCGAAAGCUAUUUAGGUAGCGCCUCGUGAAUUCAUCUCCGGGGGUAGAGCACUGUUUCGGCUAGGGGGCCAUCCCGGCUUACCAACCCGAUGCAAACUGCGAAUACCGGAGAAUGUUAUCACGGGAGACACACGGCGGGUGCUAACGUCCGUCGUGAAGAGGGAAACAACCCAGACCGCCAGCUAAGGUCCCAAAGUCAUGGUUAAGUGGGAAACGAUGUGGGAAGGCCCAGACAGCCAGGAUGUUGGCUUAGAAGCAGCCAUCAUUUAAAGAAAGCGUAAUAGCUCACUGGUCGAGUCGGCCUGCGCGGAAGAUGUAACGGGGCUAAACCAUGCACCGAAGCUGCGGCAGCGACGCUGAUGCGUUGUUGGGUAGGGGAGCGUUCUGUAAGCCUGCGAAGGUGGCCUGUGAGGGUUGCUGGAGGUAUCAGAAGUGCGAAUGCUGACAUAAGUAACGAUAAAGCGGGUGAAAAGCCCGCUCGCCGGAAGACCAAGGGUUCCUGUCCAACGUUAAUCGGGGCAGGGUGAGUCGACCCCUAAGGCGAGGCCGAAAGGCGUAGUCGAUGGGAAACGGGUUAAUAUUCCCGUACUUGGUGUUACUGCGAAGGGGGGACGGAGAAGGCUAUGUUGGCCGGGCGACGGUUGUCCCGGUUUAAGCGUGUAGGUGUGUGUUCCAGGUAAAUCCGGUUCACUUUAACACUGAGGCGUGAUGACGAGGCACUACGGUGCUGAAGCAACAAAUGCCCUGCUUCCAGGAAAAGCCUCUAAGCAUCAGGUAACAUCAAAUCGUACCCCAAACCGACACAGGUGGUCAGGUAGAGAAUACCAAGGCGCUUGAGAGAACUCGGGUGAAGGAACUAGGCAAAAUGGUGCCGUAACUUCGGGAGAAGGCACGCUGACACGUAGGUGAAGUGAUUUACUCAUGGAGCUGAAGUCAGUCGAAGAUACCAGCUGGCUGCAACUGUUUAUUAAAAACACAGCACUGUGCAAACACGAAAGUGGACGUAUACGGUGUGACGCCUGCCCGGUGCCGGAAGGUUAAUUGAUGGGGUCAGCGCAAGCGAAGCUCCUGAUCGAAGCCCCGGUAAACGGCGGCCGUAACUAUAACGGUCCUAAGGUAGCGAAAUUCCUUGUCGGGUAAGUUCCGACCUGCACGAAUGGCGUAAUGAUGGCCAGGCUGUCUCCACCCGAGACUCAGUGAAAUUGAACUCGCUGUGAAGAUGCAGUGUACCCGCGGCAAGACGGAAAGACCCCGUGAACCUUUACUAUAGCUUGACACUGAACAUUGAGCCUUGAUGUGUAGGAUAGGUGGGAGGCUUUGAAGUGUGGACGCCAGUCUGCAUGGAGCCGACCUUGAAAUACCACCCUUUAAUGUUU
RNAcentral lists this ribosomal RNA (1661 nucleotides) under Salmonella enterica subsp. enterica serovar Ohio. RNAcentral's name for it is "partial 23S ribosomal RNA". It matches the Rfam family "Bacterial large subunit ribosomal RNA", at positions 566 to 2215 of the family's 2925-position model. Lineage: Bacteria; Pseudomonadati; Pseudomonadota; Gammaproteobacteria; Enterobacterales; Enterobacteriaceae. The record is from RNAcentral.